GGAUGUGGCCCUAUGCCAAGCAGCCAGAGACCCAGUGCUGGGACCUGCAGUGCUGGGUGAAUGCCUCCCGGUACUGAGCCCCAGGGUUACUGUUUCAAGAUAGCUCCCUGGAGGACGAGAACAGUGAAGAGAUACAUGAAACUGGACAUGGCAAAUUUAUUCUACAGAACAUUUCUGGACUUCUUCCAUCGGAAGCUCAAAGCUAAGGUCAUAUCGAUGUGCUUGGGGACUGGUGGCGACCCGAUUGUCUGAAACAGCCCCGAGGAGGAGCCUUCCCGAGGGCAGCAGGGUCAGCACCGCGCUCUCAGGCCUGGCCAUGGU
Molecule: long non-coding RNA, 321 nt
Filed under: Vulpes vulpes (red fox)
Lineage: Eukaryota; Metazoa; Chordata; Mammalia; Carnivora; Canidae
Description: lncRNA (ENSVVUG00000025001.1)
Source: RNAcentral